Molecule: ribosomal RNA, 419 nt
Filed under: uncultured bacterium
Lineage: Bacteria
Description: bacterial SSU rRNA
Rfam family: Bacterial small subunit ribosomal RNA
Source: RNAcentral
UGAGGAAUAUUGCACAAUGGGCGCAAGCCUGAUGCAGCGACGCCGCGUGUGGGAUGAAGGGGCUACGCCUCGUAAACCACUGUAGCCCGGGACGAAAAACGCCGUAGAGGCGUUAGACGGUACCGGGAAGGUAAGGGUCGGCUAACUACGUGCCAGCAGCCGCGGUAAUACGUAGGACCCAAGCGUUGUCCGGAUUUACUGGGUGUAAAGGGUGCGCAGGCGGAUGGGUAAGUCAGGGGUGAAAGUCUGCAGCUUAACUGUAGAAUUGCCUUUGAUACUGCUCAUCUUGAGUGUGGGAGAGGUUGAUGGAAUUCCAGGUGUAGCAGUGAAAUGCGUAGAUAUCUGGAAGAACACCAGUGGCGAAGGCGGUCAACUGGCCCAUAACUGACGCUCAUGCACGAAAGCGUGGGGAGCAAACA